Molecule: ribosomal RNA, 274 nt
Filed under: uncultured bacterium
Lineage: Bacteria
Description: partial 16S ribosomal RNA
Rfam family: Bacterial small subunit ribosomal RNA
Source: RNAcentral
AUACGGAGGGUGCAAGCGUUAAUCGGAAUUACUGGGCGUAAAGCGCGCGUAGGCGGUUUAGUCAGUCGGGUGUGAAAGCCCAGGGCUCAACCUUGGAAUUGCAUUCGAUACCACUUGACUAGAGUAUGGUAGAGGGAAGUGGAAUUUCCGGUGUAGCGGUGAAAUGCGUAGAUAUCGGAAGGAACACCAGUGGCGAAGGCGACUUCCUGGGCCAAUACUGACGCUGAGGUGCGAAAGCGUGGGGAGCAAACAGGAUUAGAAACCCGAGUAGUCC